This 254-nucleotide ribosomal RNA is filed under the name uncultured bacterium. RNAcentral describes it as "partial 16S ribosomal RNA". It matches the Rfam family "Bacterial small subunit ribosomal RNA", at positions 524 to 776 of the family's 1533-position model. The record is from RNAcentral.
UACGUAGGGUGCAAGCGUUUGUCCGGAAUUAUUGGGCGUAAAGAGCUCGUAGGCGGUUCGUCACGUCGGCUGUGAAAUCCCGAGGCUCAACCUCGGGUCUGCAGUCGAUACGGGCGGACUUGAGUACUGCAGGGGAGACUGGAAUUCCUGGUGUAGCGGUGAAAUGCGCAGAUAUCAGGAGGAACACCGGUGGCGAAGGCGGGUCUCUGGGCCGAUACUGACGCUGAGGAGCGAAAGCGUGGGGAGCGAACAGG